This is a long non-coding RNA of Fundulus heteroclitus (mummichog), 1539 nucleotides long. RefSeq lists it as uncharacterized. NCBI's taxonomy places the organism in Eukaryota, Metazoa, Chordata, Actinopteri, Cyprinodontiformes, Fundulidae. The record is from RefSeq and is a predicted model, not a curated record. The transcript is spliced from 2 exons.
GCGCAUGGACGCGGAUGGCAUCGUGACGGAUCAGCGCAGACACGGGGGAAGGAGCAGAGGACCGAAAAGACGAGGUGGACAUGUCAGAACUUUUUGAACACCUACGGCUGCUUAUGCUGGACACUGGGCAUGUGGCUGUUUCACAUCAUCAGCCAGUCAGCCUGGCAUCAAGUCACCGAAUCCUGGCAUGAAGUCCCAAUACAACCUCACCUCUAGAAGGUCAGUACCCCAGCAAGGGGAUAACGCUCCCACGAACAAUGUUUCCGCACCCUGGAAAAGUGGCCAGCGCUCAUGAACAGCGCAGAUACCAAGCUGUCAAGGGAAGUGACUGCAUGAACUUUCUGCACAUAUUGGAGCCACUUGAUUCAUCAGAAUCUGAGUUGUGAAAAGGGGACUUUGUCACUGAGGUGCGUCGCAGAGACAUUACAGUGAUCUGCUACUGCAACACUGGGGGAAGAAAUGUAGAGUUCCACACAUGAAAGCCUUGAAUAUAAAGUCUUAACUCCGAUCUCAUGUUUGCCUGAUCUGUUGCAUGUCAAUCCAAGUUCAUCUCAGGAGCCACAAACUGGUAUCAAACAUCUUUAAGGUUUCCUGAUAGGAUGAAGAUGGAACAAUAAAAGGUGGUAAGGAUUAAUUAGUAUCUGAAAAAUAAUUGGCUGAAAUCUGUGCACUAAAUUGAUAUGGGGUAAAGUUUUGUUUCUUGUUGGAGUGUUCAGUUAAUUUCAUUACAGGAUGCACUCUCUGACUGGAAGGAGAUUUUCGGGGUUGCGACGUCAACCUCCCAGGAUUCACAGGUAGCACACGAAAUUUGACAUCUAAAGAUUGUUGUGUAGUUUCAGAUUAUAUUGGAGAUUCCUAAGGAAUGUGAAGGAGGGUCCACAAACCCCCAGACCUCGGCUGAGUGCGCGCUAUGGUCAACGAAGGACAGAGGUGGGGGUUGUGAUUUAGGGUGCUCUGACCAGAGUGCGGAGCCGUGAGGUGCCACCACAGGGUGCCAAAGGAAACACCGAGACCAGUGCAGAACCAGAGUGGGAAAGUCAUCAAAAGAAAGUGGUCAGAACCAAGGUGGACCAGCCCGUACCAGAUGGUGGAACGCACUUCGCACGCUGUCAGGCUCAAAGGAAAAGGCGACACCUGGUAUCAUUGGAGUCAGUGUGCAGCCACUGAGGAACCCCAGCGCUCUCAAACAUCAGGUGCGCCAGGAUUUACAGGAUAACAUCACAACGCUGUGAAAGGGAGCCUAUCGGUGAAUCCUCUACUCAACCACGGUCAUAAUAAAACCCGUAGAGAGAUUCAGUGAGCUUAAGCUCACUCACAAAAAUCGCGCAAAGGAGACAGAGCAGAAGAACAAAGAAGAAGAGGCGGAAGAAGUGGGCAGUGAGCUGCUCUCCUGCUCCAGGAAAAAAAAAAAAAAAAAAAAAAAAAAAAGCAUUAAACAGAAGAGGCGGAAGUAGUGUUUUUUACCUGACCACUUGGUGUUGUAGCAGCUCUUACACUCAGAGAGAAGAAGAAAACCAAAAAGAGACUCAGAGAACUUAA